UAGUAGGACACACUUUCUAAAAGGCAGCAU
RNAcentral lists this non-coding RNA (30 nucleotides) under Cricetulus griseus (Chinese hamster). Lineage: Eukaryota; Metazoa; Chordata; Mammalia; Rodentia; Cricetidae. The record is from RNAcentral.